CUCCGAUUGGAGGAUGAGCUGAAAAGAAGAGGAGAGGAGGAAGCUGUUUUCGAUUCGGAGAAGCCGCACUUCUCAUGCGGUCAAGUUCAGAAGACCUAAGCCUGUCUCAGAGUCUAAAGUAGUCUUCCUUCUGCCGCCCAUCCUGAACUUCUCCUACCCUCCUGUAUGCCUCCACUGAGCCAUUUCUGAAGGACUGCACCUCCCCACCCCCAUUUCGGGCUCAUCUUUGGGCUCAGCCAGUGGGAAGCAAAGAGACCAAAACAGUCACCUGGAAGGAGAAAAUGCUUGGAGAAUUUCUUCCCUCCUGCCCCACAUGCAGUGCCAAGUCUUCGGCUGUAGCAGGGCCCUUCUGCGAUGGUAACAGCAAUACACUCAGAUGCGGUGAGGAAGGGCGGCUGUGGAUCCUGAGGCAACAGUUUAUCAUCAUUAGCAGAGAGUGAUCUGCGUGUGCCUGUCUGCUUCGGUACACCUCAUGGACAUUUGCCCAGCACCUGUUAUGCCCUGAAUGAAAUGAAAUGAAGACCCGGAGACAGCAGAUCUGGGGGCUGCAUUUACCAACUUGAGACUCACGAUGAUGUAUGUUGCCUGUCAAAUGAUCGCUGGACCAUCAUGUAUCUUUUGGUAGAAUGUAAAUAUAUAUUUGUGAUAGCUAAUGUUUAUUGUCUAUUAAAUAU
This is a long non-coding RNA of Fukomys damarensis (Damara mole-rat), 674 nucleotides long. RefSeq lists it as uncharacterized. Lineage: Eukaryota; Metazoa; Chordata; Mammalia; Rodentia; Bathyergidae. The record is from RefSeq and is a predicted model, not a curated record. The transcript is spliced from 5 exons.